CAGCAGCCGCGGGAAUACGGGGGAUGCGAGCGUUAUCCGGAAUUAUUGGGUUUAAAGGGUGCGUAGGCUGUGCGGUGCGUCUGUGGUUAAAGGCCUCUGCUUAACGGAGCGUAUGCCAUAGAAACGGCCGUGCUUGAGAGUGAUUGCCGUGGGAGGAAUGUGUGGUGUAGCGGUGAAAUGCAUAGAUAUCACACAGAACACCGAUUGCGAAGGCAUCUCACGAAGUCAUAUCUGACGCUGAAGCACGAAAGCGUGGGAAUCAAACAGGAUUAGAUACCCCGGUAGUCCCUGUCUCUUAUAC
This 301-nucleotide ribosomal RNA is filed under the name uncultured bacterium. Its description in RNAcentral is "partial 16S ribosomal RNA". It matches the Rfam family "Bacterial small subunit ribosomal RNA", at positions 509 to 807 of the family's 1533-position model. The record is from RNAcentral.